CCUACGGGGGGCAGCAGUGGGGAAUAUUGGACAAUGGGCGAAAGCCUGAUCCAGCCAUGCCGCGUGUGUGAAGAAGGUCUUCGGAUUGUAAAGCACUUUAAGUUGGGAGGAAGGGCAGUAAGUUAAUACCUUGCUGUUUUGACGUUACCGACAGAAUAAGCACCGGCUAACUUCGUGCCAGCAGCCGCGGUAAUACGAAGGGUGCAAGCGUUAAUCGGAAUUACUGGGCGUAAAGCGCGCGUAGGUGGUUCAGUAAGUUGGAUGUGAAAUCCCCGGGCUC
This 280-nucleotide ribosomal RNA is filed under the name uncultured bacterium. Its description in RNAcentral is "partial 16S ribosomal RNA". It matches the Rfam family "Bacterial small subunit ribosomal RNA", at positions 338 to 610 of the family's 1533-position model. The record is from RNAcentral.